AACCCCCCUCGCCCCAUCGUCUCUCUCAGGCCCCUCAGAGACGACCCCUCGAAACCCUAGCCGCCACCAAAUCCCUUCGCCGUAAACCCGGCAGCAACAACGCCGGUGACCACCGAACUCACACCCCUAAACCACGUUGAACCCCUCAGUCCAAAUCUAUACCCCUUUAACCUCGAAUCAUACUACAACUUCUCGAAUCUUCAAUCGAAGAUUCGAGCAAAACCCUAAACUUACCCAACCAGUACCAAAGUCACAUACCAGCUCCACCUGACCUCCUUCGUUCCCAAACCACCCUUACUUUCGUUCGAAUCCCAUUAGAACUAGUCGGAUCUUAAAUCGACUAGCAAACCCUAAAAGGACCAAGACUGGAACCUGUCCAAAAUUAGGAGAAUUUUGAGGCUGUUAAUCGACCCUAGUCGAGUGUUCUCAGUCGAGAACACUCGAUUAAGGUCCGUUUUCGCUUCAAAUAUUUCAAGAUGAAGUGUCGACUGAAACGGAUUGGGUUUGGUCUGAAAUUUCAAGGUAUUUCUUUUGUUUUCCUUUUUCUUUUGUUGUUGUUUUAUUUUGACUGAUUAAUUCGUCAUUUUUGUCAAGUAGUUCUUCCUCCUCUUUCGGACCUUUUUCUUGGUCUAGUUUUCUUCUGUUGAUUAACAUAUGGUAUAAAUAGUUUCGUCGAUUAAUCCGUUCAUGUUUGUAGUUUAGUAGUCCUCGUCAAGAUAUUUGAUGUCGAUCGAAUCAUUUUGUGAUCCGUAUAUUCUCAGCUUCAGGGGUUCAUUGUUAGCGUUGAGUUUUGCUACCUGAAUCAGUAGGUUUUUAAUUCAUAUUCGUUUUUGAAUUGAGUUACAAUCAAUCAAAACUUAAGGUAGAGAUUCAAUGGAGCUUUAAUUUGAAAAGUUGAACUGAGGGUAACAUGACAGCAUGGGUUGUCAGGGCACUUUUUAAUUUAGAAAACCAUGCUGCCCAUAACUAGGGGAAUAAAAUAAUGAAAUUGGGAUGUAAUAGGGUAACUGACACUUCUGUCUUGGUUUUUGGGUGGGAAAAUCAGAGGGGGUGAUGAGAGGAAAUAUUUUCUUAAUAGUUAAGUGCUUUUAGGAGUUGGAAAUCAGGGACAACAUGAGCUAAUGAUAAAAGCUUAAAGGUGUGCACAUGGGAGGGGAGAUAAAAAAAAGGAAGAGAGAGGUUGGAGGGGGAAAGAGUCUUGAAGUUUAAAAGAGCAGGACAAGCAUACACAAGGGAGAGCUGAGGAGAUUGGGGGAGAGAACUUUCUGAGAGAGUACAUACAGACAGACUUAAGGGAAGAGGGAGGGAAUCAGAAAAGAAAAACUGAAACUGCCAAAAAUUGGCUACUGUUCCAUUGAGCUCUGAUUUGAUUUCCAAAGUUUUCAAUUUCUUAAAUAGGUUCCGGUCUAUCUAGGCUGAAAUGAUUUGAGUUUGGUAUUUUAAAAAGUUUGGUUCUUGAAGUUCUGGCCGCAUUUUCAUGAGUGUUGGACUUCGUUUCCUGGUUUGAAACUGGUUACCUGGUUGUUUCUGUUGCUGAUCAUUGUUCUUGCUACUGUCCUGCUGUUGCUUCCUCAUUUUCCGUGUUAUUUUCGAAUUUCAGGUACUUUUCUUUAGCUUAUGAGUAUAGCAUGACUGCUGGACAUGUAAUUCUAGCGAAAUUCUGGUUGAAUGGAAAGCUACAUUUGAAUUUGGCCUCCCAUGUUUCUCUUGCUAUUUCAAUAUUACGUAGUUAGGUUUUUGAACUACAAGUGUCAGUUAGGUUUUCUAAAUUCGUUUGUGAAGAGUAGUCUGCAGUAGUAAGUUUGCAUUUGUAUUGAUGUAUGAACUAUGGAUUCUAUUUACUUAGUUUUCUUUUAACAAAUCUAAGUGAGUGCUAGUCAAAGGAUUUAUUAAGAUUUUGUAUAAAGGUUUAGUGUAAUGCUUUGGGUUGUAAAUCCAUGUUUAGCUUAUACUGUAGACCAGUUGUCUUAGCUUGGGUAGCCAUUUGAUUUCAGUGAAUUGCUAAAUAUCGACUUGUAUCUAUUCACUCAUAUUCCGCCUUGUAAACAUGCCCAUUGGUG
This 2060-nucleotide long non-coding RNA is filed under the name Nicotiana tabacum (common tobacco). Its description in RNAcentral is "long non-coding RNA (NTAB_LNC012603)". The record is from RNAcentral. Lineage: Eukaryota; Viridiplantae; Streptophyta; Magnoliopsida; Solanales; Solanaceae.